AGGAGAUUUUUCUGCCCUGUCAAGCUUGCUUGCUUAGGCAAGGGUCUGCUGUGACCUUAGGGUCCGUGAAGUGAAUCUUUUGGAACCCCAAAAGACUCCGCCGGACAGUACCAGAGGGGAGUUGCUCUGUGAAGCUCUGGACUUUUAACUAUCUAUGAUUGGCUCGUUGUCAAGGCGAAUUGCAGAGAGAAGUGUCACUACAAUGCAAAACAAAUUCAGAUGGAAGUUUUCGACCAGACUUUUUUUUUUUUAUUAGAAAAGGACAGAUGGAGAAAUCUGUUUCGUUCCCAUAUUCUCACAUUGUCGAAAUCCAGUGACAUUGGGAACUUAAAAAAACAACAACAAUGCCGCUCGUGUCUGCCGGAAGUUGUUGCCCAUUGAAAUUGCCUCGUUAUCUUUGGCUUCUUAAAUAAUGUCAGGGCUCAGCUGUGGAAUCUGAUUUCUGUUCCAGCACUGAGAGAUGGAAAGUUUGAAGCGGUAAUAAAGAAGAACACUUCUGACCAUGGACAGAGCAUUUUCCCUUCACUGUCAAGCAGCUGCAGCAUAUAGCUACACAGUUAGGAAUGACGAGGCUCCCUGAUAGGCUUUCUUAUUAGAACUGCGCAGCCAUUUCUUCUUUCCUAUUUUCCACUCUAAUAUCGGAAGUGAGACUUCAGAGGGCCAUAAAUCCUGCUUCACAUCAAGAAAUGGGUUGAUUCACUCAUAGUUCACUCAUCAUUUCUCAGACCUGGAAGAUACCUACUCCUGGCUUUACUGAAUGACUAUUGCAAUACUUACUGGGUUUACUAUUGUAAUAUUCACUGGGUUUAUGAAGAAUGCUAAAGGCACAAAUUCCUUUGCCUAAAACAAAAACAGAGGGACCUGCUUUACAGAGUUUUAUCACCUCAGUUUUGUUUCUCACAGAAUUUUUUUUUUUAAAGAUGGUCAUUAGUGCCAUUUUGCAAAUAAGAUCAGGUAAUUUAGAUGGAUUGACUCAAUAAAAGAACCCCUCAGUUUGCAUGACCUGAGCAAGGCUGUUAACGAUA
This is a long non-coding RNA of Heteronotia binoei (common prickly gecko), 1025 nucleotides long. RefSeq lists it as uncharacterized. Lineage: Eukaryota; Metazoa; Chordata; Lepidosauria; Squamata; Gekkonidae. The record is from RefSeq and is a predicted model, not a curated record. The transcript is spliced from 2 exons.